This 259-nucleotide ribosomal RNA is filed under the name uncultured bacterium. RNAcentral describes it as "partial 16S ribosomal RNA". It matches the Rfam family "Bacterial small subunit ribosomal RNA", at positions 524 to 777 of the family's 1533-position model. The record is from RNAcentral.
UACGGGGGGGGGCAAGCGUUGUUCGGAAUUACUGGGCGUAAAGGGCUCGUAGGCGGCCAACUAAGUCAGACGUGAAAUCCCUCGGCUUAACCGGGGAACUGCGUCUGAUACUGGUUGGCUUGAGUGUGGGAGAGGGAUGCGGAAUUCCAGGUGUAGCGGUGAAAUGCGUAGAUAUCUGGAGGAACACCGGUGGCGAAGGCGGCAUCCUGGACCAUUACUGACGCUGAGGAGACGAAAGGCCAGGGGAGACAAAGCAGGG